Molecule: long non-coding RNA, 332 nt
Filed under: Oryza brachyantha (malo sina)
Lineage: Eukaryota; Viridiplantae; Streptophyta; Magnoliopsida; Poales; Poaceae
Description: long non-coding RNA (OBRA_LNC000690)
Source: RNAcentral
GUGCUGCGUGGAGAUCGCCGGCGGGUGUGGUGCGCCGCCGCGCCGCCCAACGAAUUGCUCCGGUUUUAUGCGGCGGGAUGCCCGGUCGAGAGAAAGAAAAAACCGACCGAGUCGAUUUCUGGGAUCUAUUGUGGAGAAGCCUGGUAUUCCUUGGCACGAUAAAAAAGCGGCGGCAAAACAAAUUGUUUUCCAGACAAUUGAUUAUCGGUCGGUAAGGGAUUCAGGUAUUUGCUGAUUUUAACUGUUGGUAAAAUAAAAACCAUAUGACGUUGGAACGAAAACUUUUUGUUACUAAUAUUGUUAUUAACGUUAUUUUUUAAGUAUUAAUUUUU